Solanum lycopersicum (tomato) is the source of this 390-nucleotide non-coding RNA. The record is from RefSeq and is a predicted model, not a curated record. Lineage: Eukaryota; Viridiplantae; Streptophyta; Magnoliopsida; Solanales; Solanaceae.
AGCAAAGGAGGGUUUUAGGGAUGAAAAGGAUCAAUUUUUCUCCUUAAAACUUCAUCAAUUAGUAACAUAUGAGAUUCGUUUCACCUUUGGGAUCUCUCUCUCCAAAGGGUUCCUCCAAAUUUAUUUCAAAAAGAUGAAAUUCAAGUGUAGGUGGCAAUUGAAAGGAGUCUUGGAAGCUUGGGAAUAGCAUUCUCCUAAGCAAGUCUUAGCAUGUUCUCAUCUGAUUCGAGGACGUGGAUAUAUUUAGCUUUUCUUUUCAAAGACGUUGUAAUAGACAUUAGUAUUUCUAUUUCAUUGAUGUAUGGGUUGUGACCCAACAUAUUCAUGUGUCUAAGAUGGCUACAAAUAGACUUAGCAUUUCUAUUAUUUCAAUAAAUGAGAUUUGAACUA